Molecule: ribosomal RNA, 510 nt
Filed under: uncultured bacterium
Lineage: Bacteria
Description: SSU rRNA
Rfam family: Bacterial small subunit ribosomal RNA
Source: RNAcentral
AGAGCGAACGCUGGCGGCGCGCUUAACACAUGCAAGUCGAGCGAGAACCAGGCCUUCGGGCCUGGGGAAAGCGGCGAACGGGUGAGUAACACGUGGGUAACCCACCCUUGGUACCGGGAUAGCCCGAGGAAACUCGGAUUAAUACCGGAUGGCCCAACAGCUUCUCGGAGCGGUUGGAAAAGGUAGCUUCGGCCUCCGACCAAGGACGGGCCCGCGGUGGAUUAGCUUGUUGGUGAGGUAACGGCUCACCAAGGCUUCGAUCCAUAGCUGGUCUGAGAGGACGAUCAGCCACACUGGGACUGAGACACGGCCCAGACUCCUACGGGAGGCAGCAGUGGGGAAUCUUGCGCAAUGGGCGAAAGCCUGACGCAGCGACGCCGCGUGGGGGAAGAAGGCUUUCGGGUUGUAAACCCCUUUCAGGAAGGACGAAGCCACUCGGGUUAAUAGCCCAGAGGGUGACGGUACUUCCAGAAGAAGCCCCGGCUAACUACGUGCCAGCAGCCGCGGUAA